GACGAACGCUGGCGGCGUGCUUAACACAUGCAAGUCGAACGGAAAGGCCCUGCUUUUGUGGGGUGCUCGAGUGGCGAACGGGUGAGUAACACGUGAGUAACCUGCCCUUGACUUUGGGAUAACUUCAGGAAACUGGGGCUAAUACCGGCUAGGAUCUCCUGCUGCAUGGUGGGGGUUGGAAAGUUUCGGCGGUUGGGGAUGGACUCGCGGCUUAUCAGCUUGUUGGUUGGGUAGUGGCUGACCAAGGCUUGGACGCGUAGCAGGGCUGAGAGGGGAACCGGCCCAACCGGGAUGGAGAUACGGCACAGCCUCCUCCGGGACGGAACAGUGGGGAAUAGUGUACAAUGGGCGGAACCCUGAUGCAGCACAGCCGCGCGGGGGAUGAGGGCCUGGGCGUUGUAAACCGCUUCCGCCUGUGACGAAGCGUGAGUGACGGUACUGGGUAAAGAAGCACCGGCUAACUCCGUG
RNAcentral lists this ribosomal RNA (468 nucleotides) under uncultured bacterium. RNAcentral's name for it is "partial 16S ribosomal RNA". It matches the Rfam family "Bacterial small subunit ribosomal RNA", at positions 28 to 507 of the family's 1533-position model. The record is from RNAcentral.